Dermatophagoides farinae (American house dust mite) is the source of this 238-nucleotide non-coding RNA. NCBI's taxonomy places the organism in Eukaryota, Metazoa, Arthropoda, Arachnida, Sarcoptiformes, Pyroglyphidae. The record is from RefSeq and is a predicted model, not a curated record.
GUAAUAUUUCGUUGAAUUUAUUAAUAAAAAAAAAUGAUGAUGAUGAUAAUUGCAAGAUUUAUCUAUGGACAAAUAUAUAUGAAAAAGACGAAAAAGAAGAAGAAGAAAGUCAUACAUCAAAACUGUUUCACAUUUAAAAAUGUCUUCCAUGGUCAAAGAAUUACCAUCAACUAAUGAAUUUUCACCACAUUGAAUUAAUCUUGGCUGGCCACUAACACAGGUGAUUAUUGCUUGUUGA